AAGCAGCACCCCUCCAUGGCCUCUGCAUCAGCUCCUGCCUCCAGGUUCCAGCCAUGUUUGAGUUCCUGUCCUGACUUCCUUUGGUGAUGAACAGCAGUAUGGAAGUAUAUUCUAUGAAUUUUCCUAGGAACCUGUGAGCAAACAUCUAUUUCACAUCAGAUAGUCUACUCACCUGAGAGAAAGACACCGUCUAAGAUCACAGGUCAAAACAGGCAUGGUUGUUUAUGCCUGUACUCCACAAACAUUCAGGAAGCAGAUGCAGGAGGAUCCGAGUUCAAGACCAACUCUGAAUGUGCAGAGAAUUCGAGGCCAGCUGGGCCUACAGGAUCCGUUUCUCAGCAACCAACCAGCCACGGAAACAAGAGAAACUUUGGUCCUCAGAGAGAUCUGGAAGCCUGCUGAAGCCUGCAAGCAAAACUACUCCAUGCAAGCCUACAACCUCCCUCAAGCUUCCUCACCCUAAACCGGAGAGUCACCCCCUGAGCCUCCUUCCUGCUGGGGAACCCACUCCUUGGUCAGCAGUCUCCAAAUGGCUUUCAGAAGAAACCUGGAAGAGCCGGCUGCAGUGUGUCCAUCUGUGAGCAUGCAUAGCCCUCGGUGUGGCUGGCUCAGUUCCUGCUUUUUCUGCAGCCCUUUCUCUGUACUCAUAGCUCAUAGGAAAGUUCCCGCUUUGCUGUAGAACUAAAGUUUAUGGCGGCA
Molecule: long non-coding RNA, 699 nt
Filed under: Mus pahari (shrew mouse)
Lineage: Eukaryota; Metazoa; Chordata; Mammalia; Rodentia; Muridae
Description: lncRNA (MGP_PahariEiJ_G0005674.1)
Source: RNAcentral